GAAUCCAUCCAUCGGUCGGGCCUCACGGUCCGCACUGGUGUGAUGGAUUUCUACCUUCUGAAUAACCAGCAUGUCAUUAAUUUGGUGUUGCGGGGAAUUUGGACUGUUACUUUGAAAAAAUUAGAGUGUUUAAAGCAAGCUAACGCUUGAAUACAUUAGCAUGGAAUAAUGAAAUAGGACGUUCGAUCCUAUUUUGUUGGUUUUUAGGAUCAACGUA
RNAcentral lists this ribosomal RNA (217 nucleotides) under Campeiostachys nutans. RNAcentral describes it as "Elymus nutans partial small subunit ribosomal RNA". The stretch from base 48 to 217 matches the Rfam family "Eukaryotic small subunit ribosomal RNA", at positions 693 to 864 of the family's 1831-position model. Lineage: Eukaryota; Viridiplantae; Streptophyta; Magnoliopsida; Poales; Poaceae. The record is from RNAcentral.